CCACCCCCGCGCCCCAGCACGACGAGCCUUCUCUCUCACCAGACCUACCGUUGCCUGCCUUCCCAAAUAAAUGAAGAUUCACAUCCCUGGCUGGGAUGGGAAUGUGGUCACCCCCGCCUCCUUAGCCCCCCAGCACAAAGAGGGCAACUAAGCUGGUGCCCUAGGAAUCUGGGUAAACCUCAGAUCAGGCCUCUGAUGGGGAGUUUCCGGAAUGGUUUGGAAAACAAACUUUCAGGCUGCAGUGACAGUUGCCCAUACAGAGGUCAAGCUGAUAUAGGAGGCAGGGCGGGCCUGUGGAGGGAGAGGGCAGUGGUGUGCCUGUCCCCCGGGGACGCCCCAGCAGACCCUCACCCGGUGAUUCUGGUAGGCGGUGACUGCAGUGAAGCGUGUCUCCUCAAACACAAAAGUUUUGAAGUUC
Molecule: long non-coding RNA, 418 nt
Filed under: Rattus norvegicus (Norway rat)
Lineage: Eukaryota; Metazoa; Chordata; Mammalia; Rodentia; Muridae
Description: long non-coding RNA NONRATT007169
Source: RNAcentral